Molecule: ribosomal RNA, 425 nt
Filed under: uncultured bacterium
Lineage: Bacteria
Description: partial 16S ribosomal RNA
Rfam family: Bacterial small subunit ribosomal RNA
Source: RNAcentral
GUGGGGAAUAUUGGACAAUGGGCGCAAGCCUGAUCCAGCCAUGCCGCGUGAGUGAUGAAGGCCCUAGGGUUGUAAAGCUCUUUCACCGGAGAAGAUAAUGACGGUAUCCGGAGAAGAAGCCCCGGCUAACUUCGUGCCAGCAGCCGCGGUAAUACGAAGGGGGCUAGCGUUGUUCGGAAUUACUGGGCGUAAAGCGCACGUAGGCGGACAUUUAAGUCAGGGGUGAAAUCCCGGGGCUCAACUCCGGAACUGCCUUUGAGACUGGGUGUCUGGAGUAUGGAAGAGGUAAGUGGAAUUCCGAGUGUAGAGGUGAAAUUCGUAGAUAUUCGGAGGAACACCAGUGGCGAAGCCGGCUUACUGGUCCAUUACUGACGCUGAGGUGCGAAAGCGUGGGGAGCAAACAGGAUUAGAAACCCUGGUAGUCC